GAUGACUUUGUUUUUAGAAUUGGUUGCAUACAACUUUCUGUAAAUAUAUCGAAUAGCCGAUAUAUCCCUCCAAAGUUCAACUUUUUAUUUUUAUUCCUGUAAAAAUUUUAACAUUUUCAAAUAUACUCCCUAUUAUUAGGAUAUGUUAGAAAAAUAUAGUUAACUAUAAGUAAAAUAUUUAACCUUGGUUAGUAAAUUGGUUAAAUUAAUCUUUUUAUCCCUUUUAUAUUAUUGAGUAAAAUAUUUUUUGGGAGGACCUUAUGUAUAAUUCUAACAGUUAGAACUUUUAAAAUAAUAUAUUUAUAAAGGUAACAAUACCAUUUUAUUUAUCUAUAAUUAAAAAAUAAAUUGUGCUCUAACGGUAACAAAUCAGAGAAAUAAAUAUUAAUAUCACUGGACUAUUGCAGGAAUAAAAGUGAAAAGUUAAACUUUAUAGAAAAUAUAUUUGCUAUCUGAUAUAUUUAUAGGGAGCUGUAUGUAAUUAACUCUUAUUUUUAUUAACUUAGGUUUGUUUAACACGAGUGACUCUAUAAAGGGAACUUGCAUGCUGGGUGUUAUUUGCGGCACUCCGGAGUCAUCAGUUACUGGAAUAAGUUAAUGGUUAUGAUGUCCUAAAAAGUGUGGCCCACCGCCCACGUGAAUUUAGUUGAUACUAAUAAAUAUACCUUACUGACUGUUUCUAGUGCAAAUGGCAAAGAACUUGGCGGUUGGUACCCUAGGUCCCAAGUUUGAAUCUUAGUUGAUUCAUAUUUUCAGCUAAGUUUAUUUUUAGAUAAAAUAAACGAAACGAAUAAUGUGCUACCUAUCUCUCAAAAAAAAUAUAUAUAUAUAUAUAUAUAUAUACCU
RNAcentral lists this long non-coding RNA (846 nucleotides) under Ananas comosus (pineapple). RNAcentral describes it as "long non-coding RNA (ACOM_LNC004590)". The record is from RNAcentral. Lineage: Eukaryota; Viridiplantae; Streptophyta; Magnoliopsida; Poales; Bromeliaceae.